RNA transcript from Helianthus annuus (common sunflower), 3553 nucleotides. RefSeq lists it as uncharacterized. The transcript is spliced from 12 exons. NCBI's taxonomy places the organism in Eukaryota, Viridiplantae, Streptophyta, Magnoliopsida, Asterales, Asteraceae. The record is from RefSeq and is a predicted model, not a curated record.
CUAUUUUUUUCCAUUUUCUACCAUUGUUGCCCCUCUCCCUUAACAAACCGGCCUCCAACUCAUUGUCAUUCUCGAAUAUCAAUCACCAUGGUUCAAUGCGACCUUUCAGUACUCGUCAGUUCCCAACUCCCCUAUAACCUAAUGUUCGUUUCAGGUUCCAUCAAUGGCGAUGAAUCUCAUCUCCCCUCUAGCCUGUUUUUCGAUUCUUACCUCAAUCGACCCGAUCUUGUAAGAUGGAUAGAUUGUUAAAAAAUCUAGGGUUCAAUGUCAGAACCGCAAGGUGAAAAUGAAGAUUAGAGUUGAUUUCAGAUCCACCCACGAAGAUUCAGAAACAGUGAAGAGUGGUUAUUGGGCGAAUUCGCGAGGUGGAAGUGCUGCUUGUGGGAUUGUAAGAUUCUCUACUAAAAGAUCCGGAGAGAUUGGUCGUCUUCCAAUGGAGUGGUCAAAGUGUUUGAUUCCGCUUGUUACUUCAAAAAAGGUUAAAGUUCUUGGUAGAUGUGUGGCUGCACCAGCAAGUCUCAGCAUGAUGCAAGAGAUUAUGCUUUACAUAAGCUUUUAUAUUCAUCGUUCGAUAUUCACUGAAGAUGGAAAUUGUUCAUGGAAGUUAGAUUCUCCAUCAAACAUUGACACUACAAUUUAUCCUUUGUUAACUUUGUUCAAAUUGUUGAAAAAGAGCCCAUUUCAAAAGGCUGAGUUUACACCAGAAGAGCUUGAUACUCGUAAACGCGCGCUUACUCUUGAAGUAUGUUUGCUUGAUCAAUACCCUUUAUUUGUUUUGUUGUUUACAUUUUCAUGUUUAGGGUAUUAUUGUUUCAAAAUUUGUAUUUGUUUUGGAACUAUACGUUUGAUUUUGAUAUCAUUAGUAGUGACAAGUCAACCUAUUUUGAGUUCCUAUUAGUGGUGUGCACGGUUUGGUUUGAGUUCCUUUCGGCAUAAAUUGAAUUGGUUGAGAGAUGGUGUAGCUCCUGUUUCCAACCUGUCUGAUUUAGAAGGUGAUUGAUUGGAAAUUCCCGGUUUCAAGCUUGAACUUUCAACGUUUAACAAGUCUCACCUGCCGUGCUGUGUGUGUGAAACCACCGUGAUUGAUUGAUUGGAAUAUUCUACGAUCUGACAGACGCCAAAUCUUCCUGAUGGUAAACUGCAUUCUCGAUUGAUCGAUUGUUUGUUUGUUUGUGUACUCAUCAGUGCCAAACGCCCAAACUUAGUGCUUGAUUGAUGUAGCUUCUUCGGCUAGGAAGAACCCAUCAGCACUUUCACGUCCGGUAAGUGUUUGAUGAAAUGUCUCAGUCAGUAAGUGUUUUAAAGGGCUCUUGUAUCUGUCUUUUUAGUCACUUGUUUAAUGAUUCUUGUUGAGAUUAGUCAUUCUGAAGUGAUAUUCUUGAUGGUUAUGUAAGAAAUCUUGGAGAUACGUUCCUAUUUUCAACUAUUGUUGGUAAACUAACCCACAUUCAGAUCUUUAUUUGUGUGCAUUGUGCCGUAAUUGCAGUUGUUUACAUGGUGGAAUUCAUGUCCUAUAUGGCUAUCUUUUGUAAAUAUUUUAGAAUAGAUGUUUUCUUUCUGAGUCCCCUUUCUUUUUAUCGGCAGGCACUUGGAGGGGCCAUCUAAAAUCUAAAGGCUAAAACUCACAGACAUCAAUAUUGACAUUAAAAGAGUCCCUAAUAAGAAAACCAUGGUUGCUGGUAUAGGUAUUGAAGUUUUUUCUUAUUUGCAGAUGUGAAGAACAAGUGAAAGAGCAGUUCUUAGGGAAGAAAGAUUAUCUUCUAAUUUGUAUGUUCUUGAAAAAAAAGAUUUUGAUAGCUCAAGAUGGCUGUUUUGCGAAAGGGAAUAUCUAUGUACUCCAGUUACAAGACCAUCUAGGAAAUGUGAAAAUGACACCAAUGCACCGAAGAAGAUCCCAAAAGAGAAGGAUCCAGUUCCUGAUCAUAUUCAUCAUCCUUAUUUUAUUGGCACGUUGAACUCUAAAGAUGCGCAAUAUAAACCGUAUGUUCCAAUCAAUUUCGUAAGGGCAAACCGUCACCGAUUAAGCACUGGAGGGAUGAUUCUUAGAUAUGUUCAAAGUCAAACGUCGUGGAUGGCUGAGAUAAGGAUUCGUGCGAAUAGUUACAUAAUAGGAGGAUGGCAUGAUUUUUAUAGUAUGUCUUAUCAGUUAUCAUCAUAUUGUCUUCUGAUUUCACGUGCUUACUUUCAAGAUACACAAUCACUGUAGCUUCAAGUGAAAAUAACAGUUCUUACUGGCAAAGGUGCAUAUGGUGAAGUUUAUAAAGUAAAAUGGCAUGGUACAGAAGUUGACGCAAAGACGAUCCGGUAAACCCAUACUUCAAUGGCUUACAGAAUCGAAAGAAACCGCACUUGAAAAGUGGGAAUGUAUUUUAUCCGGGGAACUGCAGCAGAAGCCGAAAAAGUUAUUAGGCAGUGGAAGCGGACCGAAAUUACCACAACUUAGAGCCCGUUGUUUUUAGUAUUCGCUUUUGUUAUUAUUAAAGUUUUCUGUUAUUGUCAGGUUCAAACUUUCAGACUUUCAAACUUUUAGUUCAUUUCUUGUUUUUACGUCGGUUGUUUUAUUUUUAUAGAUAUAUCGAGGCGUUAAACUGGCCACUGGGGUCUGGGGAUACGAGUUUGAUAUAAGUUGCAUGGGUGACGAUGCCACAGCUAAGAAGUGGAGCAAGGAGAUCAAAACAGUUAGUUAAUCUCCAGCCUGCUACUCAUCCGAUUGACCAAACGGAAAACGACACCGCACCAACGAGAACCAGAAGGAAGACGGGUGGUGGAAGGGGACGAGAUGACGCUGGGCUUGUGGCGGCAACGAUAGGUAGAUCGGUGGCUGGCGGUAGAGGCAGAGGUGUUAGAUUGAUUGAUUUGGACCUGGAACCACUGUCUGAAGUUGUUCCUGAACUUGUAGCUCGUGGAGUUGGUGAGCUUGCGUUUAAUAGAAUCGACGCGGUUGCAGAUAAAGAUAUAGCAAUGGACGGUGGAAGUGGUAAUAAAGUUAUCGGAGUUGAAGAAGAUGGAAACACACCUGCCGUGCCCGAAAGGGUACGAGUAGGCAACUCUCCUAUAUAUAAGACCGAUAGAAAGUUGGGUAAGGGUGGUUUUGGACAAGUUUAUGUUGGUCGGAGGGUAAGCAGCGGAACCUAAAGAACAGGCCCCGAUGCAUUUGAGAUUCUAUUUUUAGGUAGCAUUAAAGUUUGAGCAUCGUAGUAGAAAGGGUUGCAACUAUGGUCCUCUGUAUGAGUGAUUUCCGUUACCAAAGCUCGUUGAAUGGUUGUUACGGGAUUCCGUGGGUUCUCACUACAAGGGACAUCAAGGCGAUUUUUACAUUCUGGCGAGUUUCGGCUUUUGACUUUGACAUCAUGAACCACUCAGUUUGUAGUUGAAUUAUUUGUAUUUAUAUUUUUUAUGGUUUUAUAUGGUCAAAUAGUGGGGCUUGAGUCAUGGUUAGAGUUACUGAGUUGUAGGAGUAGUGGUUAUAGUUGGUUUCCUUCAUUUACCUAGCUAAAUGUGUGUAUAUAUGUAUGGUUUCGCAAUGAUAAAAGUGUGGGUAUUCAAGUAGUAA